This 21-nucleotide non-coding RNA is filed under the name Caenorhabditis elegans. The record is from RNAcentral. Lineage: Eukaryota; Metazoa; Nematoda; Chromadorea; Rhabditida; Rhabditidae.
UAUUACAACUAUAAAGUGAUA